AGUGACAAUGUGUUGGGAGAGAGUUAGACUGAAGAUCUAAAAGUCCCUGGUUCGAUCCCAGGUUUCGCCA
Molecule: transfer RNA, 70 nt
Filed under: Cordylochernes scorpioides
Lineage: Eukaryota; Metazoa; Arthropoda; Arachnida; Pseudoscorpiones; Chernetidae
Description: tRNA-OTHER
Rfam family: tRNA
About the family: Transfer RNA (tRNA) molecules are approximately 80 nucleotides in length. Their secondary structure includes four short double-helical elements and three loops (D, anti-codon, and T loops).
Source: RNAcentral